CGAACGCUGGCGGCAGGCCUAACACAUGCAAGUCGAGCGCCCCGCAAGGGGAGCGGCGGACGGGUGAGUAACACGUGGGAAUUUUCCUCAAGGUACGGAACAACUCAGGGAAACUUGGGCUAAUACCGUAUGAUGCAGAGAUGCCAAAGAUUUAUCGCCUUGGGAUAAGCCCGCGUCAGAUUAGGUAGUUGGUGGGGUAAAGGCCUACCAAGCCUGUGAUCUGUAGCUGGUCUGAGAGGACGAUCAGCCACAUUGGGACUGAGACACGGCCCAAACUCCUACGGGAGGCAGCAGUGGGGAAUCUUGCGCAAUGGGCGAAAGCCUGACGCAGCCAUGCCGCGUGAAUGAUGAAGGUCUUAGGAUUGUAAAGUUCUUUAGCCUGUGACGAUGAUGACGGUAACAGGAGAAUAAGCCCCGGCUAACUUCGUGCCAGCAG
Molecule: ribosomal RNA, 436 nt
Filed under: uncultured bacterium
Lineage: Bacteria
Description: bacterial SSU rRNA
Rfam family: Bacterial small subunit ribosomal RNA
Source: RNAcentral